Molecule: ribosomal RNA, 301 nt
Filed under: uncultured bacterium
Lineage: Bacteria
Description: partial 16S ribosomal RNA
Rfam family: Bacterial small subunit ribosomal RNA
Source: RNAcentral
CAGUCGCCGCGGUAAUGCGGAGGGUGCAAGCGUUAAUCGGAAUUACUGGGCGUAAAGCGUGCGUAGGCGGUUCGUUAAGUCUGUCGUGAAAGCCCCGGGCUCAACCUGGGAAUGGCAAUGGAUACUGGCGAGCUAGAGUGUGUCAGAGGAUGGUGGAAUUCCCGGUGUAGCGGUGAAAUGCGUAGAGAUCGGGAGGAACAUCAGUGGCGAAGGCGGCCAUCUGGGACAACACUGACGCUGAGGCACGAAAGCGUGGGGAGCAAACAGGAUUAGAUACCCCCGUAGUCCCUGUCUCUUAUAC